GCAACAGUGAGCAAAACAGGUGUAAUACCUGACUCAUUAGCUUAAAAAUAAGGGAAAUAAUAAUAUACAAAUGAAUAAAGCAUAUGAGAGCACAUAAGAUGUAUUUGGGACCUCAUCAAGCUUGCUAUGUCCAAGAAAACUUUGAAGAGCUCAAAUCUGAAGGACAAGAACGGAAGGGGAAUACUGCCAACGAAUCAGUAGUAACAUCAACUACUAGUACUACAGUGAAAGUGACAUCUCAGGUGAGACCUAAACAUUAAGAAAA
Molecule: long non-coding RNA, 265 nt
Filed under: Homo sapiens (human)
Lineage: Eukaryota; Metazoa; Chordata; Mammalia; Primates; Hominidae
Description: HSALNT0199633
Source: RNAcentral